GAAAGUAAAUAAGGGCGUAUGGGGAAUGCCUAGGCUCUUGGAGGCGAAGAAAGACGUGGUAAGCUGCGAAAAGCUCCGGGGAUUUGCAAACAAGAUUUGAUCCGGAGAUUUCUGAAUGGGACAACCCGUCAGGUAGAAGACCUGACACAUCGUAAGAUGGGCCAACCCUCUGAACUGAAACAUCUUAGUAGGAGGAGGAAAAGAAAGAAACAUCGAUUUCCUGAGUAGCGGCGAGCGAAAGGGAAAAAGCCUAAACCGGUAUUGUUACGGCAAUGCCGGGGUUGUAGGACUGCAACAUUCAAGUAACAAUGAACUGGAACGAUCUGGAAAGUUCGUCCAUAGAGGGUGAAAGGCCCGUACAGGUAAGUUCGUUAUGCGAUAGCAGUAUCCUGAGUAGGGCGGGACACGAGGAAUCCUGUCUGAAUCUGCCGGGACCACCCGGUAAGGCUAAAUACUCCCAAGAGACCGAUAGUGAACCAGUACCGUGAGGGAAAGGUGAAAAGAACCCCGAACAGGGGAGUGAAAUAGAACCUGAAACCAUACGCUUACAACCGGUCGGAGCAGCUUCGUGCUGUGACGGCGUGCCUAUUGAAUAAUGAGCCUACGAGUUACUAAUCACUGGCGAGGUUAAGUGCACGGAUGCACGGAGCCGAAGCGAAAGCGAGUCUGAACAGGGCGGCUAGUCAGUGGUUGUAGACGCGAAACCUUGCGAUCUACCCUUGAGCAGGUUGAAGGUUGGGUAAAACCAACUGGAGGACCGAACGAAUAAGCGUUGAAAAGCUUCUCGAUGACUUGAGGGUAGGGGUGAAAGGCUAAUCAAGCUGGGAAAUAGCUCGUACUCCCCGAAAUGCCUUUAGGGGCAGCGUUGUAAUUAAGAGUCUACUGGAGGUAGAGCUACUGAUUGGAUGCGGGGGCUUCACCGCCUACCAAAUCCUGACAAACUCCGAAUGCCAGUAGUAUGAUUUACAGCAGUGAGCGACCGGGUGCUAAUGUCCGGUUACGAGAGUGGAACAACACAGACCAGCAACUAAGGUCCCGAAGAGUAUACUAAGUUGAUCUAACGAUGUUUUGCUGCAGAGACAGCUAGGAUGUUAGCUUGGAAGCAGCUAUUCAUUCAAAGAGUGCGUAACAGCUCACUAGUCGAGCGGCAAAGCGUGGAUAAUAAACGGGCAUCAAGUAUACCACCGAAGUUCUGGGCACGAAAGUGCGGUAGGGGAGCAUUCCAUUGACGUCGAAGCCAUUCCGCGAGGAUAGGUGGAGUUUAUGGAAAAGCAAAUGUAGGCAUGAGUAACGAUAAUGCGGGAGAGUAACCCGCACACCGCAAGACCAAGGUUUCCUGAUCAACGCUAAUCGGAUCAGGGUUAGUCGGGUCCUAAGGGUAAGCCGAACGGUGAUCUCGAUGGACAAUCGGUUAAUAUUCCGAUACUAACAUAUACCUCGAUGGAGAGACGAAGGAACGUAAGUGACGCCGCCUGACGGAAUAGGUGGUUAAAGGGCGUAGGUAUAGGGACAGAUUAAGAGUUAGUCCUUGCUGAAACCCGACAGUACGGAGCGGCUACGGCCAAUCUGAUAGUUCACCCAAGUCGACUUCCGAGAAAAUCUUCUAAGUUAUAGUAUAUGUUACCCGUACCGUAAACCGACACAGGUGGUCGAGGAGAGUAUCCUAAGGUGCUCGAGUGAAUCACGGUUAAGGAACUAGGCAAAUUAACCCCGUAACUUCGGGAAAAGGGGUCCCUACGCGAGUAGGGCGCAGCGAAGAGGUCCAGGCGACUGUUUAUCAAAAACACAGGGCUCUGCAAAUUCGAAAGAAGACGUAUAGGGCCUGACACCUGCCCGGUGCUGGAAGGUUAAGAGGGGAUGUCAUCGCAAGAGAAGCAUUGAAUCGAAGCCCCAGUAAACGGCGGCCGUAACUAUAACGGUCCUAAGGUAGCGAAAUUCCUUGUCGGGUAAGUUCCGACCUGCACGAAUGGUGUAACGAUCUGGACACUGUCUCAACCGUGAGCUCGGUGAAAUUGUAGUCCCGGUGAUGAUGCCGGGUACCCGCAACGGGACGAAAAGACCCCGUGAACCUUUACUAUAGCUUAACGCUGAAUUUGGGUACACAAUGUGUAGGAUAGGC
This 2119-nucleotide ribosomal RNA is filed under the name gut metagenome. Its description in RNAcentral is "bacterial LSU rRNA". It matches the Rfam family "Bacterial large subunit ribosomal RNA", at positions 1 to 2148 of the family's 2925-position model. The record is from RNAcentral.